CUAACGUGGACCCGUAAUCCGGGUUGCGGACAGUGUCUGGUGGGUAGUUUGACUGGGGCGGUCUCCUCCUAAAGAGUAACGGAGGAGCACGAAGGUUGGCUAAUCCUGGUCGGACAUCAGGAGGUUAGUGCAAUGGCAUAAGCCAGCUUGACUGCGAGCGUGACGGCGCGAGCAGGUGCGAAAGCAGGUCAUAGUGAUCCGGUGGUUCUGAAUGGAAGGGCCAUCGCUCAACGGAUAAAAGGUACUCCGGGGAUAACAGGCUGAUACCGCCCAAGAGUUCAUAUCGACGGCGGUGUUUGGCACCUCGAUGUCGGCUCAUCACAUCCUGGGGCUGAAGUAGGUCCCAAGGGUAUGGCUGUUCGCCAUUUAAAGUGGUACGCGAGCUGGGUUUAGAACGUCGUGAGACAGUUCGGUCCCUAUCUGCCGUGGGCGCUGGAGAACUGAGGGGGGCUGCUCCUAGUACGAGAGGACCGGAGUGGACGCAUCACUGGUGUUCGGGUUGUCAUGCCAAUGGCACUGCCCGGUAGCUAAAUGCGGAAGAGAUAAGUGCUGAAAGC
RNAcentral lists this ribosomal RNA (557 nucleotides) under Salmonella enterica subsp. enterica serovar Kentucky. Its description in RNAcentral is "partial 23S ribosomal RNA". It matches the Rfam family "Bacterial large subunit ribosomal RNA", at positions 2222 to 2778 of the family's 2925-position model. Lineage: Bacteria; Pseudomonadati; Pseudomonadota; Gammaproteobacteria; Enterobacterales; Enterobacteriaceae. The record is from RNAcentral.